GGCCGCCUGGCGAAAUGGCAUCGCGUCUGACUACGACGAGGAUCGUCAUCAGGAGAUUGCAGGUUCGACCCCUGCGGUGGUCA
Rhodocollybia butyracea is the source of this 83-nucleotide non-coding RNA. Lineage: Eukaryota; Fungi; Basidiomycota; Agaricomycetes; Agaricales; Omphalotaceae. The record is from the annotation of a GenBank genome assembly.